This is a non-coding RNA of Nerophis lumbriciformis (worm pipefish), 524 nucleotides long. Lineage: Eukaryota; Metazoa; Chordata; Actinopteri; Syngnathiformes; Syngnathidae. The record is from RefSeq and is a predicted model, not a curated record.
AGAGAUUUGUAGCUGUAAUUAGCUUUAGCUAGGUGACGUUAGCUAGCUAGCAAUAUGUUUUUAGCAUCAGGUGCUAGCAAUAUGUUUUUAGCAUCAGGUUACUAGUGAGAUAUGUUGUUUGCACAAAUUGUUUGCAGCAGAGCACGGUAAUUUAUUUGAGUAAAAUAAACAUUAUUUUUUACAUCAACUCAUAAGUUAUGUGAAACUUCCCCAGGAGCAUUGUUAAAAUACUUUGGAGGCACAGAAUCAGCCCAGAGCCAGUCCACAUCCUCAGGCUCAACUGUGAGUGAUGAAUCAGGUCCAUCUCCAUCCUCUACAGUGCUCUCUCACACACCUCCACCCUCUGUGCCCACUGUCCCCUCCAUGUCUGAAACCACAGCUGAUUUAUCUACAACUUCCACCACAACGUCCCCUUCACACCAUGGACCAUCAUCAGCUCCGCCAGUUGACCCAGCUGAGUGGCCUUCUUUCCUCUCAGAUUCAGACAGGACUGAGCAGGUGAUCAGAGGACCACUGUCUAUUAA